Non-coding RNA from Aedes albopictus (Asian tiger mosquito), 73 nucleotides. The record is from Rfam. NCBI's taxonomy places the organism in Eukaryota, Metazoa, Arthropoda, Insecta, Diptera, Culicidae.
UGUUCUGUAGCUUAGUUGGUUAAAACGCCAGACUAGCAAUACGGAGACGUGGGUUCGAAUCCUACCAAAACAA